UACGGAGGGUGCAAGCGUUGUCCGGAUUCAUUGGGUUUAAAGGGUGCGUAGGCGGUCGUGCAAGUCAGUGGUGAAAUACCGGGGCUCAACCUUGGAACUGCCACAGAUACUGCAUGGCUUGAGUGCGCCCGAGGCGGCUGGAACGCGUAGUGUAGCGGUGAAAUGCUUAGAUAUUACGCAGAACACCGAUUGCGAAGGCAGGUCGCUGGGGCGCAACUGACGCUGAGGCACGAAAGUGCGGGGAUCGAACAGG
Molecule: ribosomal RNA, 253 nt
Filed under: uncultured bacterium
Lineage: Bacteria
Description: partial 16S ribosomal RNA
Rfam family: Bacterial small subunit ribosomal RNA
Source: RNAcentral